This 73-nucleotide transfer RNA is filed under the name Ixodes scapularis (black-legged tick). It matches the Rfam family "tRNA". From Rfam's summary of the family: Transfer RNA (tRNA) molecules are approximately 80 nucleotides in length. Their secondary structure includes four short double-helical elements and three loops (D, anti-codon, and T loops). Lineage: Eukaryota; Metazoa; Arthropoda; Arachnida; Ixodida; Ixodidae. The record is from Rfam by way of RNAcentral.
CCCUAGUUAGCUCAGUUGGUAAAGCGCUCCACUGGAAAUGGAGAGGUCCCGGGCUCGAUCCCCGGACCAGGCG